GACAGAGGUGCCGAGCGUUAGGCGGAAUCACUGGGCUUAAAGCGUGUGUAGGCGGGUCGUUAAGUGUCUUGUGAAAUCCCACCGCUCAACGGUGGAACGGCUGGGCAUACUGGCGACCUUGAGGGACCCAGGGGCGAGCGGAACAAGCGGUGGAGCGGUGAAAUGCGUAGAUAUCGCUUGGAACGCCGACGGUGAAAACAGCUCGCUGGGGGUCACCUGACGCGUGAGAACACGAAAGCCAGGGGAGCAAACGGG
This 255-nucleotide ribosomal RNA is filed under the name uncultured bacterium. RNAcentral describes it as "partial 16S ribosomal RNA". It matches the Rfam family "Bacterial small subunit ribosomal RNA", at positions 524 to 776 of the family's 1533-position model. The record is from RNAcentral.